RNAcentral lists this ribosomal RNA (432 nucleotides) under uncultured Methanomicrobiales archaeon. Its description in RNAcentral is "bacterial SSU rRNA". It matches the Rfam family "Archaeal small subunit ribosomal RNA", at positions 907 to 1338 of the family's 1478-position model. The record is from RNAcentral. Lineage: Archaea; Methanobacteriati; Methanobacteriota; Methanomicrobia; Methanomicrobiales.
CGGACUCAACGCCGGGAAACUCACCAGAUAAGACAGCUGAAUGAUAGUCGGGCUGAAGACUCUACUUGACUAGCUGAGAGGAGGUGCAUGGCCGUCGUCAGUUCGUACUGUGAAGCAUCCUGUUAAGUCAGGCAACGAGCGAGACCCACGCCAACAGUUGCCAGCUCGUCCUCCGGGAUGGUGGGGACACUGUUGGGACCGCCUCUGCUAAAGAGGAGGAAGGAAUGGGCAACGGUAGGUCAGCAUGCCCCGAAUUAUCUGGGCUACACGCGGGCUACAAUGGGUGGGACAAUGGGUAUCGACACCGAAAGGUGAAGGCAAUCUCCUAAACCCAUCCGUAGUUCGGAUUGUGGGCUGCAACUCGCCCACAUGAAGCUGGAAUCUGUAGUAAUCGUGUCUCAAAAUGGCACGGUGAAUAUGUCCCUGCUCCUU